Molecule: ribosomal RNA, 506 nt
Filed under: uncultured bacterium
Lineage: Bacteria
Description: partial 16S ribosomal RNA
Rfam family: Bacterial small subunit ribosomal RNA
Source: RNAcentral
AGUGAACGCUGGCGGUAGGCCUAACACAUGCAAGUCGAACGGCAGCACAGGAGAGCUUGCUCUCUGGGUGGCGAGUGGCGGACAGGUGAGGAAUACAUCGGAAUCUACCUUUUCGGGGGGGAUAACGUAGGGAAACUUACGCUAAUACCGCAUACGACCUUCGGGUGAAAGCAGGGGACCUUCGGGCCUUGCGCGGAUAGAUGAGCCGAUGUCGGAUUAGCUAGUUGGCGGGGUAAAGGCCCACCAAGGCGACGAUCCGUAGCUGGUCUGAGAGGAUGAUCAGCCACACUGGAACUGAGACACGGUCCAGACUCCUACGGGAGGCAGCAGUGGGGAAUAUUGGACAAUGGGCGCAAGCCUGAUCCAGCCAUACCGCGUGGGUGAAGAAGGCCUUCGGGUUGUAAAGCCCUUUUGUUGGGAAAGAAAAGCAACCAGUUAAUACCUGGUUGUUCUGACGGUACCCAAAGAAUAAGCACCGGCUAACUUCGUGCCAGCAGCCGCAGUAA